CAAUGAUCUGGUUUCUUGCACUUCACUUGGUGGUAUUAAUAUUUAAUACCACCAAGUGAAGUGCAAGAAACCAGAUAAUUG
Molecule: non-coding RNA, 81 nt
Organism: Paramuricea clavata
Lineage: Eukaryota; Metazoa; Cnidaria; Anthozoa; Malacalcyonacea; Plexauridae
Source: the annotation of a GenBank genome assembly